AACGAACGCUGGCGGCGCGUCUUAAGCAUGCAAGUCGAACGGCAAGAGAGGAGCUUGCUUCUCUCCUAGAGUGGCGGACUGGUGAGGAACACGUGGGUAAUCUACCCUUAAGAUGGGGAUAGCUGCUAGAAAUAGCAGGUAAUACCGAAUACACUCGGCAUAUCACAAGAGGUGUUGAGGAAAGGAAGCUACGGCUUCGCUUGAGGAUGAGCUUGCGUCCCAUUAGCUAGUUGGUGAGGUAAAGGCCCACCAAGGCGACGAUGGGUAUCCGGCCUGAGAGGGUGAACGGACACAUUGGAACUGAGACACGGCCCAAACUCCUACGGGAGGCAGCAGCUAGGAAUAUUCCGCAAUGGACGGAAGUCUGACGGAGCGACGCCGCGUGAAUGAAGAAGGGUGAAAGGUUGUAAAAUCCUUUUGUUGAGGAAGAAUAAGGGUGAGAGGAAAUGCUCAUCUGAUGACGGUAAUCGACGAAUAAGCCCCGGCUAAUUACGUG
RNAcentral lists this ribosomal RNA (496 nucleotides) under uncultured bacterium. RNAcentral describes it as "partial 16S ribosomal RNA". It matches the Rfam family "Bacterial small subunit ribosomal RNA", at positions 29 to 507 of the family's 1533-position model. The record is from RNAcentral.